RNAcentral lists this ribosomal RNA (253 nucleotides) under uncultured bacterium. RNAcentral describes it as "partial 16S ribosomal RNA". It matches the Rfam family "Bacterial small subunit ribosomal RNA", at positions 524 to 776 of the family's 1533-position model. The record is from RNAcentral.
CACGGGGGGAGCAAGCGUUGUUCGGAAUCACUGGGCGUAAAGGGCGUGUAGGCGGUCAAGUAAGUGGAAUGUGAAAUCCCUCGGCUUACCCGAGGACCUGCAUCCCAAACUGCUUGGCUUGAGUAUGGGAGAGGAUGAGGGAAUUCCUGGUGUAGCGGUGAAAUGCGUAGAUAUCAGGAGGAACACCGGUGGCGAAAGCGCUCAUCUGGCCCAAUACUGACGCUGAGGCGCGAAAGCUAGGGGAGCAAACGGG